UACGAAGGGGGCUAGCGUUGCUCGGAAUUACUGGGCGUAAAGCGCACGUAGGCGGAUCUUUAAGUCAGGGGUGAAAUCCUGGAGCUCAACUCCAGAACUGCCUUUGAUACUGAGGACCUUGAGUUCGGGAGAGGUGAGUGGAACUGCGAGUGUAGAGGUGAAAUUCGUAGAUAUUCGCAAGAACACCAGUGGCGAAGGCGACUUACUGGACACAUAUUGACGCUGAGG
Molecule: ribosomal RNA, 228 nt
Filed under: uncultured bacterium
Lineage: Bacteria
Description: partial 16S ribosomal RNA
Rfam family: Bacterial small subunit ribosomal RNA
Source: RNAcentral